Long non-coding RNA from Microplitis mediator, 583 nucleotides. RefSeq lists it as uncharacterized. The transcript is spliced from 4 exons. NCBI's taxonomy places the organism in Eukaryota, Metazoa, Arthropoda, Insecta, Hymenoptera, Braconidae. The record is from RefSeq and is a predicted model, not a curated record.
AGAAAUAUUUACUCGCUCUAUAUAUUUUUCUCAUCAAACUAUUAAUCUCAAACUCGAUACUCCGUGAUAACUUUUGGUCUUGUGAAAUAUAAAAUCUAGAAAUUUUCCAUCGUUAUUUAUUUUGCAAAGUAGUAGUUUACAUUUAUAAGUUUAUCAGAUGAAUUUUAUGAGAAAAACAUAUUUAUCAUAGGAAAUGUCGAAGGACAUAACAGUCAAUAUAUAAAGGCCAGCAAUCCGCGGAUCAAUCACAUAGAAGCUUGCAGUAUAAUCGCUUCAAAAUAUAAAAUAACAAAAUGUCGAAAAUAACUUUAAUAUUAUCAAUCUUCGUAUUGGUUGUUAUCUACUCUGGUGCAUAUGCAGCAUGUCCUGGUGGUUGGUGUCAUCCAUCACAAGGAUAUGGCUGUUGUGCAGGAAAUAAAUGCAAUUCGCAUUAUUUUCAAGGUACAUGUAUAACCAAUGAGGAAUACGACAUGCAAACCGCUAUAGGAGCAAUAGCAGCAACAGGAAAAUAAUAAUAACAAUACAGUGAAGAUUUAUAAAUGUAUUGUAUCAAUUAAUAAAAAUCUCUUAUUUACGAAAAAAA